RNAcentral lists this ribosomal RNA (230 nucleotides) under uncultured Alicycliphilus sp. RNAcentral describes it as "partial 16S ribosomal RNA". It matches the Rfam family "Bacterial small subunit ribosomal RNA", at positions 553 to 774 of the family's 1533-position model. Lineage: Bacteria; Pseudomonadati; Pseudomonadota; Betaproteobacteria; Burkholderiales; Comamonadaceae. The record is from RNAcentral.
AGCUCAGCAUUGGGCGUAAAGCGUGCGCAGGCGGUUUUGUAAGACAGAGGUGAAAUCCCCGGGCUCAACCUGGGAACUGCCUUUGUGACUGCAAGGCUGGAGUGCGGCAGAGGGGGAUGGAAUUCCGCGUGUAGCAGUGAAAUGCGUAGAUAUGCGGAGGAACACCGAUGGCGAAGGCAAUCCCCUGGGCCUGCACUGACGCUCAUGCACGAAAGCGUGGGGAGCAAACA